GAAUGCUGACAUAAGUAACGAUAAAGCGGGUGAAAAGCCCGCUCGCCGGAAGACCAAGGGUUCCUGUCCAACGUUAAUCGGGGCAGGGUGAGUCGACCCCUAAGGCGAGGCCGAAAGGCGUAGUCGAUGGGAAACGGGUUAAUAUUCCCGUACUUGGUGUUACUGCGAAGGGGGGACGGAGAAGGCUAUGUUGGCCGGGCGACGGUUGUCCCGGUUUAAGCGUGUAGGUGUGUGUUCCAGGUAAAUCCGGUUCACUUUAACACUGAGGCGUGAUGACGAGGCACUACGGUGCUGAAGCAACAAAUGCCCUGCUUCCAGGAAAAGCCUCUAAGCAUCAGGUAACAUCAAAUCG
RNAcentral lists this ribosomal RNA (352 nucleotides) under Salmonella enterica subsp. enterica serovar Oranienburg. RNAcentral describes it as "partial 23S ribosomal RNA". It matches the Rfam family "Bacterial large subunit ribosomal RNA", at positions 1292 to 1644 of the family's 2925-position model. The record is from RNAcentral. Lineage: Bacteria; Pseudomonadati; Pseudomonadota; Gammaproteobacteria; Enterobacterales; Enterobacteriaceae.